GACGAACGCUGGCGGCGUGCCUAAUACAUGCAAGUCGAGCGAACCAAUAAGAAGCUUGCUUUUUGUUGGUUAGCGGCGGACGGGUGAGUAACACGUGGGUAACCUGCCUGUAAGACCGGGAUAACUCCGGGAAACCGGUGCUAAUACCGGAUAGAUUAUCUUUUCGCCUGGAGAGAUAAGGAAAGAUGGCUAUUGCCAUCACUUACAGAUGGGCCCGCGGCGCAUUAGCUAGUUGGUAAGGUAACGGCUCACCAAGGCGACGAUGCGUAGCCGACCUGAGAGGGUGAUCGGCCACACUGGGACUGAGACACGGCCCAGACUCCUACGGGAGGCAGCAGUAGGGAAUCUUCCGCAAUGGACGAAAGUCUGACGGAGCAACGCCGCGUGAGUGAAGAAAGGUCUUUCGGAUCGUAAAAGCU
RNAcentral lists this ribosomal RNA (419 nucleotides) under Bacillus sp. oral taxon C03. Its description in RNAcentral is "bacterial SSU rRNA". It matches the Rfam family "Bacterial small subunit ribosomal RNA", at positions 28 to 432 of the family's 1533-position model. The record is from RNAcentral. Lineage: Bacteria; Bacillati; Bacillota; Bacilli; Caryophanales; Bacillaceae.